RNAcentral lists this non-coding RNA (46 nucleotides) under Schistosoma margrebowiei. Lineage: Eukaryota; Metazoa; Platyhelminthes; Trematoda; Strigeidida; Schistosomatidae. The record is from RNAcentral.
GCACUUCUGAGGAGUCCCACAAUAGGACGAAACGGGUGUCCAGUGC